Molecule: ribosomal RNA, 253 nt
Filed under: uncultured bacterium
Lineage: Bacteria
Description: partial 16S ribosomal RNA
Rfam family: Bacterial small subunit ribosomal RNA
Source: RNAcentral
UACGUAGGGGGCAAGCGUUGUCCGGAAUCAUUGGGCGUAAAGAGCGCGUAGGCGGUCCGGUAAGUCGGUUGUGAAAGUCGGGGGCUCAACCCUCGGAUGCCGAUCGAUACUGUCGGGCUAGAGUCCGGAAGAGGCGAGUGGAAUUCCUGGUGUAGCGGUGAAAUGCGCAGAUAUCAGGAGGAACACCGGUGGCGAAGGCGGGUCUCUGGGCCGUAACUGACGCUGAGGAGCGAAAGCAUGGGGAGCGAACAGG